Molecule: long non-coding RNA, 227 nt
Filed under: Daucus carota (carrot)
Lineage: Eukaryota; Viridiplantae; Streptophyta; Magnoliopsida; Apiales; Apiaceae
Description: long non-coding RNA (DCAR_LNC004212)
Source: RNAcentral
UCAAAUCUUAUUUAAAAACCAACCUACUACCACAACUGAUUUAAACAUACAAAUCCUAGAGAAGCAUGACCAUGCUGAAACUACUGCUAGAACUGAAAUAGACUGAAGUUGAGAUGAUUUCAUGAAGAGAUUUAGUAAUUUAUCCGGGACACAAAUGACAAAACAUACGAAAACAUACGAGUAUUACUAAUAUGUGGGGCCCACAAAGGGAAACCUGUGGGGGCACG